This 489-nucleotide ribosomal RNA is filed under the name uncultured bacterium. RNAcentral describes it as "partial 16S ribosomal RNA". It matches the Rfam family "Bacterial small subunit ribosomal RNA", at positions 29 to 507 of the family's 1533-position model. The record is from RNAcentral.
GUGAACGCUGGCGGCAGGCCUAACACAUGCAAGUCGAACGGCAGCACCAGAGAGCUUGCUCUCUGGGUGGCGAGUGGCGGACGGGUGAGGACUGCAUCGGAAUCUGCCCAUUUGUGGGGGAUAACCUCGGGAAACCGGGACUAAUACCGCAUACGACCUACGGGUGAAAGCAGGGGAUCUUCGGACCUUGCGCAGAUGGAUGAGCCGAUGCCGGAUUAGCUAGUUGGAGGGGUAAAGGCCCACCAAGGCGACGAUCCGUAGCUGGUCUGAGAGGAUGAUCAGCCACACUGGGACUGAGACACGGCCCAGACUCCUACGGGAGGCAGCAGUGGGGAAUAUUGGACAAAGGGCGCAAGCCUGAUCCAGCCAUGCCGCGUGUGUGAAGAAGGCCUUCGGGUUGUAAAGCACUUUUGUUGGGAAAGAAAAGCAGCCGGUUAAUACCCGGUUGUCAUGACGGUACCCAAAGAAUAAGCACCGGCUAACUUCGUG